This 253-nucleotide ribosomal RNA is filed under the name uncultured bacterium. RNAcentral's name for it is "partial 16S ribosomal RNA". It matches the Rfam family "Bacterial small subunit ribosomal RNA", at positions 524 to 776 of the family's 1533-position model. The record is from RNAcentral.
UACGUAGGGCGCGAGCGUUGUCCGGAAUUAUUGGGCGUAAAGAGCUCGUAGGCGGCCUGUUGCGUCCGCUGUGAAAGCCCGGGGCUUAACCCCGGGUCUGCAGUGGAUACGGGCAGGCUAGAGGUAGGUAGGGGAGAAUGGAAUUCCCGGUGUAGCGGUGAAAUGCGCAGAUAUCAGGAGGAACACCGAUGGCGAAGGCAGGUCUCUGGGCCACUACUGACGCUGAGAAGCGAAAGCAUGGGGAGCGAACAGG